This 449-nucleotide ribosomal RNA is filed under the name uncultured bacterium. Its description in RNAcentral is "bacterial SSU rRNA". It matches the Rfam family "Bacterial small subunit ribosomal RNA", at positions 354 to 796 of the family's 1533-position model. The record is from RNAcentral.
GUGGGGAAUAUUGGACAAUGGGCGAAAGCCUGAUCCAGCCAUGCCGCGUGUGUGAAGAAGGUCUUCGGAUUGUAAAGCACUUUAAGUUGGGAGGAAGGGCAGUAAGUUAAUACCUUGCUGUUUUGACGUUACCAACAGAAUAAGCACCGGCUAACUUCGUGCCAGCAGCCGCGGUAAUACGAAGGGUGCAAGCGUUAAUCGGAAUUACUGGGCGUAAAGCGCGCGUAGGUGGUUCAGCAAGUUGGAGGUGAAAUCCCCGGGCUCAACCUGGGAACUGCCUCCAAAACUACUGAGCUAGAGUACGGUAGAGGGUAGUGGAAUUUCCUGUGUAGCGGUGAAAUGCGUAGAUAUAGGAAGGAACACCAGUGGCGAAGGCGACUACCUGGACUGAUACUGACACUGAGGUGCGAAAGCGUGGGGAGCAAACAGGAUUAGAUCCCGGGUAGUCC